RNAcentral lists this ribosomal RNA (253 nucleotides) under uncultured bacterium. RNAcentral's name for it is "partial 16S ribosomal RNA". It matches the Rfam family "Bacterial small subunit ribosomal RNA", at positions 524 to 776 of the family's 1533-position model. The record is from RNAcentral.
UACGUAGGGUGCAAGCGUUGUCCGGAAUUAUUGGGCGUAAAGAGCUCGUAGGCGGUCUGUCGCGUCGGCUGUGAAAACCCGGAGCUCAACUCCGAGCCUGCAGUCGAUACGGGCAGACUGGAGUUCGGCAGGGGAGACUGGAAUUCCUGGUGUAGCGGUGAAAUGCGCAGAUAUCAGGAGGAACACCGGUGGCGAAGGCGGGUCUCUGGGCCGUAACUGACGCUGAGGAGCGAAAGCGUGGGGAGCGAACAGG